Molecule: non-coding RNA, 382 nt
Organism: Scatophagus argus
Lineage: Eukaryota; Metazoa; Chordata; Actinopteri; Scatophagidae
Source: the annotation of a RefSeq genome assembly
AUGAUGGACUACAGGACAGGACUGCUGCUUUUAACUGUCUGCUGGGCAGGCGUUGAUGGUCAGACUCUGACAGAAUCUGAAUCAGUGGUUAAAAGGCCUGGAGAAUCUCACAGAUUGACCUGUACAGGCUCUGGAUUCACAUUCAGUGACUACAGCAUGCAUUGGGUCAGACAGGCUCCUGGAAAAGGACUGGAGUGGGUUGCUGCUAUUAGCAGUGGUAGCAGCACUUACUACCCUCAGUCAGUCCAAGGCCGGUUUACCAUCUCCAGAGACAACAGCAGACAGCAGGUGUAUCUGCAGAUGAACAGUCUGAAGACUGAAGAUUCUGCUGUUUAUUAUUGUGUUCGAGACUCACAGUGACUGGAGUUGGUGGAGCAGCUGC